This 301-nucleotide ribosomal RNA is filed under the name uncultured bacterium. RNAcentral's name for it is "partial 16S ribosomal RNA". It matches the Rfam family "Bacterial small subunit ribosomal RNA", at positions 509 to 807 of the family's 1533-position model. The record is from RNAcentral.
CAGUAGCCACGGGAAUACGUAGGUGGCAAGCGUUGUCCGGAAUUAUUGGGCGUAAAGGGUGCGUAGGCGGUUUGGCAAGUUUCGUGUGAAGACUUCGGGCUCAACCCGAAGCCUGCACGGAAAACUGCCGGGCUUGAGUAUGGGAGAGGUGAGUGGAAUUUCCGGUGUAGCGGUGAAAUGCGUAGAUAUCGGAAGGAACACCUGAGGCGAAAGCGGCUCACUGGACCAUAACUGAUGCUGAGGCACGAAAGCUAGGGGAGCAAACAGGAUUAGAGACCCCUGUAGUCCCUGUCUCUUAUAC